GCCAGCAGCCAUAUCACCCUGUAGCCCAAGACCGGUUGCCCACUGAAGUUAAGCAGGGCUGAGCCUGGUCAGUACCUGGAUGGGAGACCUCCUGAGAAUACUAGGUUGCUGCUGGAA
Molecule: ribosomal RNA, 117 nt
Filed under: Sinocyclocheilus anshuiensis
Lineage: Eukaryota; Metazoa; Chordata; Actinopteri; Cypriniformes; Cyprinidae
Source: RNAcentral